UAGUCCACGCCGUAAACGAUGUCUACUAGGUUGUGGAGGUUCUGACACUUUCACGGCCGAAGCAAAAGUGUUAAGUAGACCGCCUGGGGAGUACGGUCGCAAGGCUAAAACUCAAAGGAAUUGACGGGGGCUCACACAAGCGGUGGGGCAUGUGGAUUAAUUCGAAGCAACGCGCAGAACCUUACCUGGGUUUGACAUGUUUGGAUGCCUAUCUGGAAACAGAGUCGGCUGCCUUUCGGGGUGAAACUUACACAGGUGCUGCAUGGCUGUCGUCAGCUCGUGUCGUGAGAUGUCGGGUUAAGUCCUUUAACGAGCGAAACCCUUGCCGUUAGUUGCCAGCGAGUAAUGUCGGGGACUCUAGCGGGACUGCCGGUGUUAAACCGGAGGAAGGUGGGGAUGACGUCAAGUCCUCAUGGCCUUUAUGCCCAGGGCUUCACACGUGCUACAAUGGUAACUACAGAGCGAAGCGAGACCGCGAGGUGGAGCAAAUCGCAAAAAAGUUGCCUCAGUUCAGA
RNAcentral lists this ribosomal RNA (515 nucleotides) under uncultured bacterium. RNAcentral's name for it is "bacterial SSU rRNA". It matches the Rfam family "Bacterial small subunit ribosomal RNA", at positions 791 to 1297 of the family's 1533-position model. The record is from RNAcentral.